This 1374-nucleotide long non-coding RNA is filed under the name Homo sapiens (human). Its description in RNAcentral is "HSALNT0153382". The record is from RNAcentral. Lineage: Eukaryota; Metazoa; Chordata; Mammalia; Primates; Hominidae.
GAUCUCCUGACCUCGUGAUCCGCCCACCUCGGCCUCCCAAAGUGCUCGGAUUACAGGCGUGAGCCACCGCGCCCAGCCCAAAAAAUUUUUUAAAGUGAUUGAGUUAAAAUAAAAUCUUCAGAGUGGGACCUAAUUCAAUAUGAGUGGUAUUCCCAUAAAAAGAAACGUGGACACAGAGAAAAAUCAAAUGCAUGCACACGCAGAGAUGACCCUGUGAACACGCCAAGAGGAGGCAGUUGACUCCAGUGAUGAACAAGGAGAGAGGCCUCAGAAGAAACUAAACAUGCUAACACCUCAAUCUUGAACUUCUAGUCUCCAGAAGUGUGAGAAAACAAAUUUGUGUUGUUGAACUCACUCUGGUUGUGGUAUGUUGUUAUGGCAGCCUUAGCAAACUAAUAUACCCUCCUAUGCAAUAACCUAAUCUUGGUUCAACACUCUUUCCCCUCUAGAAAAUUUGCAGCUCUCCAUGCAGUCUUCAACUUGAGUAACAGCCCUUCUUCUUGGAAGAUGAAGUUGUCUUUUUAUUGAUCCUGACUCAUCUUUGGAAAGGUCUUGAGACUUCGGUUUCGCAUACAUAAAGAAGAUGGUACCGUAAAAUAUGAUCACCACAGUCAGGAAAUCAAAAGAAGAUCUAACAUGAAAUGUAUUUACUGCCAAGAAACAAACAGUACAAAUUAACUGAACAAUCAUUCUUUUGACACAUAUUAGAAGGAGUGCUUGCUUGAAGUUCUGACAUCCAGUUAUCUUCAGUAAUGUGUGUGACUAGAAUACAAUGAAAUUGGGAAUGAUGGAAGCACCUAUACCGCAUCGCCAAUAUGUGAAGAUCUACCCACGAUCAGACACACAUGCAGACGGAACCUUUCCUGCUGUUGAGGACAUGUUCCUGAGUUGAGGACACUCUCCCGAGCUGAGGUUUCUAAAACCCCUGGCCAAUCAACAACUCUAAGCUUAACAUCUUCAUUUCAUCAACCCCAGCAAACAAGCAGUAAAGGGGGCAAAAGACUACUCAACAAAGACUGGAAUUUUAAUUCAGCAAUUUAUAAAGUGUUUAAAAUUUCACAGCAACUUUGACAUUUUUGUGUGUUUAUAUUUUUUUCUAGGCCUGAUACUAAUACCUUAUAGUUAGUUUAAUUGUGUAUUUUACAGACACUUAAUAAUAAUACAUUGAAUCACAUACCCUGAAAUUUGACAAUUGUUUAAAGGCAUAGUUAGUUGUUGAUCUCAUAGUAUCUUGUUAUGACUGUUCCUAUGACAAGACCAUUGCCCAGAACAGCUCCGCAUGAAUGUGAUAGUCUUUGGAGAACAUUAUAUAGUGUCUUUACAUAUUUUACUCUGUAGCUUAAGAGUCUGUCUUGAUAAUUUACUCAUUUAAAU